Molecule: ribosomal RNA, 493 nt
Filed under: uncultured bacterium
Lineage: Bacteria
Description: bacterial SSU rRNA
Rfam family: Bacterial small subunit ribosomal RNA
Source: RNAcentral
AUUGAACGCUGGCGGCAUGCUUUACACAUGCAAGUCGAACGGGGUGAGGGGGCAACUCCUCAUUCAGUGGCGAACGGGUGAGUAAUGCAUCGGAACGUGUCCCGUAGUGGGGGAUAACGCCGGGAAACCGGCGCUAAUACCGCACAUGCUCUACGGAGGAAAGUGGGGGACCGCAAGGCCUCACGCUAUGGGAGCGGCCGAUGUCCGAUUAGCUUGUUGGCGGGGUAAAGGCCCACCAAGGCGACGAUCGGUAGCUGGUCUGAGAGGAUGAUCAGCCACACUGGGACUGAGACACGGCCCAGACUCCUACGGGAGGCAGCAGUGGGGAAUUUUGGACAAUGGGGGCAACCCUGAUCCAGCCAUGCCGCGUGCGGGAAGAAGGCCUUCGGGUUGUAAACCGCUUUUAGUUGGAAAGAAAAGGCACGCCCUAAUACGGCGUGUUCUUGACGGUACCGGCGGAAUAAGCACCGGCUAACUACGUGCCAGCCGCCGC